RNAcentral lists this long non-coding RNA (199 nucleotides) under Mus spicilegus (steppe mouse). Its description in RNAcentral is "Pvt1 onco conserved region 2 (ENSMSIG00000013598.1)". It matches the Rfam family "Pvt1 oncogene conserved region 2". The record is from RNAcentral. Lineage: Eukaryota; Metazoa; Chordata; Mammalia; Rodentia; Muridae.
UAAGGCUGCUGUCCUGUAGUGCAGGAAGCGAACUCCCAAGGUAAAAUGUCUUUAGACAAAUAAAAAUGUCUUUAGAAGGCCUAGGCUCUCUAUGGGGUGAGACUGAAUGCUGAGGCCCAAUCUUGCCUCUGAUAGAGGAGGGCUUUCAACUGUUGGGGGCAGGGAACAGCUAGGAGCUUGGUAGGGAGGACUCUGUAUA